RNAcentral lists this long non-coding RNA (2423 nucleotides) under Homo sapiens (human). RNAcentral's name for it is "HSALNT0279242". Lineage: Eukaryota; Metazoa; Chordata; Mammalia; Primates; Hominidae. The record is from RNAcentral.
CCAUCUCUGUCUCCAUCAUGCCCGGGGCUGCUGGUUGGCUGUGGGCAAGAUGAAUUUUCAUUCAAAGAUGUCUACUGUGGAAUUCAUUGAUACUUUUGUUUUUUUAGGUAAUAAGUAUUUUACAAUGGGCCCUAUCGUGGAAUCUUCAUGAUGAGCAAAUAAAGAGAAUAUGGGGGCUCAGGGAAGCCCCACGUUCAGGGGUCACCUGGACAUUGUUCAGCGCAUCUGUGCCUGUCCCCAGGACUGAGUGUCCGAAGGACUGCCGUCCAACUUAGAAUAAAGGGAAAAACGCGGAUGCUGGUUUGCAAUGGCUGAGACUUCAUACUAUCAAAAUAAUUGUAGAAAUGCACAAUUUUGCAGGAAGAAAAUAAUGUUUUUAGAACUAGAGAUUUUCAACCUGACUUCCCUGAAUCUUCUCUUUCCCCUUGAAUCGGUGUGAGCACACACGUCUCCCAUGAGCUCCAGUUCUGGGACACUGGCACAGCUUUAGUUAAUUAACAGGAGUGAGUCAGCGAGGUUGAAAAUAUGUAUUGCAAAUCGAUGUGAGGAAGAGCUCCAGCUGUCUGAAGGAUCGUGGGGCUGUGGAUUUUAAAAAUGCACCUCUUCAUUUGGCUCCUAUUCCAGUCCAACCUCUUGCAAACUUGAAAACUCGUAAACAUGUCAUAGAAAGGGUUAUUGCAACUGCUAACAUAGAGAGACGCCUUCUUCCUGUCGACUGUCACAGCUGCCAGCCCCUCCCCAAGACAGGGAGCUCUAGAAUGAAAGUCUUCCAACACUUCUCCAAGCUGAGCUUCUCAGGGGCGUCUGUGGCUUCCACAUAGGGUAGGAAGGCUGAGCUUAACGGAUAAAGCCUUUCAUGAUCCGUCCCUGCAUCAUUUUCUCUCCCGAUUCUUCACCAACCAUCACCUUCUCUGGAGACUUCUGCUAGAAUUCCCACCAGGAUGCUCCAUAGGCUCCCGGCUUCAGCACUGCCCGCCUUCUCCAGCCGCCUAGGCAUUGGGUAUCUCUACCUCCUCCUCCUUGAGACCUCCACCCCCACCACACACACACACACACACACACACACACACACACACACACACACACACAAAACUGUUGCUUCCUCCCUGAUCCCCAGCUGCUCAGCACACAGGUCCCUCUCCAAGCUCCCGCUCAGGGCUGUGUGGAGCCCUGGUAUCUCAGAGGAGGUGCACUGAAUCCUGCCCGCAAAAUUGAACAAAGUGCCAACGAGGAAUCAAACAUACCUGCAACGUUAUCCCAGCGAAAGUCAGAGUUCAAACUUCAAUGCUGUGCCAGGCUUUCUCUAUGUCUGUGUACCUUAAAAUGCUAAAAUGGGACCACGGCGCACCUCCUGGUUUUCAGCUGGGACCCGCCUCACUUGGACCUGGUGACAGAGUGAACUAACUGCUGGGGCUCAGUCUCCUGACCUCUCCUUGGCUGCCUCAGUUACCCUGCUGCUGAUGAGGACGGCAACUUUCUGCUAUCACCUGCGGCUCUCUCAUGCAACGGUCCCCAACUUUUUGGCACCAGGGACUGGUUUUUUGGAAGACAAUUUUCCCACGGAUGGAAGUGGGGUGGAGAACGAUUUCAGGAUGAUUCAUUUGCUGGGCACUUUAUUUCCAUUAUUAUUCUACUGUAAUAUAUGAUAGAAUAAUUACACAACUCACCAUCAUGUAGAAUCAGUGGCAGCCCUGAGCUUGUUUUCCUUCAACCAGAGGAUCCCAUCUGAGGGUGAUGGGAGACAGGGACAGACCAUCAGGCAUUGGAGCCUCCUGCGCAGUUCACAAUAGGGUUCGCCUUCCUACGAGAAUCUGAUGCUGCUGUUGAUCCGGCAGAAGGUGGAGCUAGGACGGUCAUGCUCUCUCGCCCGUCACUCACCUCCCACUACAGGGCCCCGUUCCUAACUGGCCACCGACCGACUUGCGAACAUUAAGAAAAUCAUGUUUAGCGCCUAACGUAGAAGGAAGAAGAAAAACAUAUGAAAUGUAGCUUUUCAAUUAGUGACACCUUGAUCAUUUAAAUUGCUUACUAGAAAUAUUUCUUUCAUCUUUCUGAGUUUGAAACUUUGUGUAGUUUGACUCUUUCCCUGAUCUUCUCAAGAAAAAGUUAAAAUAAAUCAUGAGAAACAUUGAAAGAACUCCUUCUGGGACUUUGGAAGUAAGAAUUUCCAGCUUUCUCUGCUGAUGGAAACUGCCUGAGAUGAAUUCUGUAUCCUGAGGACAAUCUAAUUUUCCAGCAGAAAGCAAGAGUGUUCAUUUCUCUAUUCUUCUUCUUAGAAAAAAAAAAAUCAUUCUAAGCUUUUAUUUUAAUUCCCUCCAGGAAAACAAAGUGAAAAAAAAACAUUGCUUCUGGGCCGUCUGUGUUCCUCCUGCACCCCCCGCCUCCCGGCUUGGAUUGGCAAAGCUACUGAGGCAUGAAAAUUC